GCUGCUGGUUUGUGGCUUGAGGUUUCCCAUUCUCACAUCAGACACAGAUUCUGAGCUCAGAAGCCUAGAACAUCCACUUGCUCUUAAUUAUGAGCUUUGUGCAUGGAAUCGCACUUCUCUUGACUUUGGGUGUUGUGAGUGAUGCUAAAACAACACAGCCAACUUCAAUGGGAAGUACUGAAGAAGAAACUGUCCACUUGCCGUGUAACCACUCCACGAUCAGUGGGAACGAGUAUAUUUAUUGGUACCGACAGGCUCCUCUUCAGGGUCCAGAAUACGUCAUUCAUGGUCUACAACAAAAUACAAGCAAUAGAAUGGCCUUUCUGGCUAUUCCCCCUGAUAGAAAGUCAAGUACCUUGAUCCUGCCUCGUGUCAGCCUGAGAGACGCUGCUGUAUACCACUGUAUUCUGAGAGUAGCACACUGUGACAAACCGGAGUGCACCUGUGCAAAAUCUCCCUGGUGGGGGAGGAGAGCGGUGGCAUCCACCAAGAGGCCUCUGCAUGGAAAUGUGCUGAAGCCCUACAGGAGAAAGAGAAGACUGGAGAACCAAGCAGGGACGGGAAAGGAAUGCAGGGACUGGGUGAGAACAGCCAACAAUAAAUGGAUGGACAUGCCUGCAGGGCAGCUGAUAGUGCAAUUUUCAGUUCUGCAGUGAGAAGGGAAUGAGAACUCCUGACUCUCUCUUUUCAUUAAAAAAAGGUUUAUUUCUCUGUAAACCUAAUUUAAAAUUAUGAGAAAAUCCUUUUGGAGCCAGGGAAGUGUCCAAGCUCUGGGGACGCAUGACUACGUCCUCCCAA
This is a non-coding RNA of Mesocricetus auratus (golden hamster), 798 nucleotides long. The record is from the annotation of a RefSeq genome assembly. NCBI's taxonomy places the organism in Eukaryota, Metazoa, Chordata, Mammalia, Rodentia, Cricetidae.